Long non-coding RNA from Rhododendron vialii, 892 nucleotides. RefSeq lists it as uncharacterized. The transcript has 2 exons. The record is from RefSeq and is a predicted model, not a curated record. NCBI's taxonomy places the organism in Eukaryota, Viridiplantae, Streptophyta, Magnoliopsida, Ericales, Ericaceae.
CUACAACAAAAGCUUCUUUUAAUAGCGUCUGUUUAUAGCGUUUUUGCAAGAAUGCUAUGAAAAAUGAUGGCGUGUGUAGCUUUUUCCAAUUAAAAGCGGAAAAAGAAAUGGGGCGUGCCAGCUGUACAAUUCAGACAGCGUUCUCACCCAAUUUUAUAGCGUUCAAAAAUUGUGAUCCGAAAAAAAUCAAAAAGCGCUAAAAAUUUGGAUCUCGCGCCCAAAGCAUACAAUCUCCUUAUUCCUUUCGAUUCCCUUCGUUUCGAACUUCCUGUGAGAUCGACUUCCCUCAUACUCCUAUCGUCCUUCAGUCUCUAUUAGGCUCAAUUCUCUCUUUUAUUCUGUUCACUUUCUGCAAAUUAGGGUUCGGAGUAGUCGAUUCUAAGUCUCUAUUGUGCGCCCUGUAUCUACUCAAACUCAUUUGAGUGUGUUUGAUGUCUCUUCUUUGGGGUUCGAGGCGUUCAAUUGGAGUGGUUGUUGAAGGGAGUUGUUCACUCCAGAUUUAUUCUCUUAUCCGCGAUUCAACGGCUUCUUGAUGGUUCUUCCGCUCGGGUUUAUGAAUCCAGACAAAGUGGACUAACUGGACGUUUUCGGCCAAGGUUAUACGUAACAGAGAACUGUACUUCCAACAGCAGGAGAGAGCCAUGGAUACAGAGUGAUCGGGUCAGUAUUUUAUAUUGCUUGACUAAAAUAUUUGGUUGCUUUGGAACAAAAUUGUAAGUGACAUAUUCUUCAAUUGUGUCCAGUGUUGAUUACAAGGUCUGAGUUUAGGUAAUUUGAUACUCUUUAAUGAAUGUUUACUUUAGGUCUUAUUAUGUGAAAUUGCUUUCGAUUUCUCAGUGCAUAUUUUUUGCUCCAAGGCGGAACUGGAAAAAAAAGGCUUGUUUGUGCCAGU